Molecule: ribosomal RNA, 490 nt
Filed under: uncultured bacterium
Lineage: Bacteria
Description: partial 16S ribosomal RNA
Rfam family: Bacterial small subunit ribosomal RNA
Source: RNAcentral
AUUGAACGCUGGCGGCAGGCCUAACACAUGCAAGUCGAACGGUAACAGGAAACAGCUUGCUGUUUCGCUGACGAGUGGCGGACGGGUGAGUAAUGUCUGGGAAACUGCCUGAUGGAGGGGGAUAACUACUGGAAACGGUAGCUAAUACCGCAUAACGUCGCAAGACCAAAGAGGGGGACCCUCGGGCCUCUUGCCAUCGGAUGUACCCAGAUGGGAUUAGCUUGUUGGUGGGGUAACGGCUCACCAAGGCGACGAUCCCUAGCUGGUCUGAGAGGAUGACCAGCCACACUGGAACUGAGACACGGUCCAGACUCCUACGGGAGGCAGCAGUGGGGAAUAUUGCACAAUGGGCGCAAGCCUGAUGCAGCCAUGCCGCGUGUAUGAAGAAGGCCUUCGGGUUGUAAAGUACUUUCAGCGGGGAGGAAGGGAGUAAAGUUAAUACCUUUGCUCAUUGACGUUACCCGCAGAAGAAGCACCGGCUAACUCCGUG